This is a long non-coding RNA of Corythoichthys intestinalis (scribbled pipefish), 2638 nucleotides long. RefSeq lists it as uncharacterized. NCBI's taxonomy places the organism in Eukaryota, Metazoa, Chordata, Actinopteri, Syngnathiformes, Syngnathidae. The record is from RefSeq and is a predicted model, not a curated record. The transcript is spliced from 6 exons.
AUGUCUGAGACAAAUGUUGUGCUCAGUGGAAAUCUGGAUAGGCUUAUUAUUCCUUAUAUUAGUUAACAAUUGGACAUAAUUGAUUAUUUACUCUUUGUUUAUUUAACCAAUCAACAUUCUCAUUAGCUUAUGCAAAUCUUGAAUAUAAAGAGGCCAGAAAUGGUGUUGAUUGUCUAAAAAAAGAAAGUUUGAUUGACACGUGCUGACUUUUGGAACGUUGGCCUGAACAAUGAAAUGGAAUCAACUGUGAAUUUUGAGGAUUUAGUUUCUCUAAAGAACAUAAUGUCAAUUGUACAAAUAAGUAAAAUGUAACUUUUUGUGUUUGUUUUUUUGCAGAUAUGAAAUGCAUAUUUAUAACUUGUCUAACAAGUAGCUCAUUCAAAGGUAUAAAAAAGUAUUUUUUGGCCUGUGUAGGGUAUUAUUUUAACUAUGUAGCCUACAGAAUGCUUGUAUGGGCUCAUGUAGGUGUCUGCGUACGUUUGUAUUUAUAUAACAUAUGUCCGUGUGUAUAGAUUAUGUAUUUUUCAGGGAAGGACCAUAUUUGUGGCUGACCCCUAUGUUGUUGCAACAUGGUGAAAGCCUACAGGAUGUGACCCACACAUGCAUUUGCCUGUAAGGCUGAUUAGUAACAACUACAACUUGGAGCAUUGGUUCAUUUUCAAAGAACAGUCAAAUCAUAACAAAUUAAAUGAUCCAAAUUCCAAUUAUUUGUGGGAAGAAAAACAGAUCCAAUCUUGAGAUCAGAGAACUAUUGUUAUCUCUAAUGAAAUUCAGUAACCAUUCAUAUUGGCAUGGCGUUUCCAUGAUGAUCCAGAAUAGCCUUGUUUGGUUUUGAAGGUAUGUUCCAGUCGAUCCUUUUAUGUUGCCCCUUCAAUUAAAGCAGAAUUGCACUCCAGAUGAUUCAUCCAAUCAUUUGAAGCAAAAUUCUAAAAUGCCACUCUAAAAUUGCGAAUGUUUUGUUUCAAGGGCGUUGGCCCGGUCUCAACAUUGGUAGGGACGAAUAUAAUGCAAAUAAGGUUGCUCAAAAGUUGGUGGGGACAACUUUAGCAUCCUGAAAAGUUGGUCGUGUUAUGUCCCUACCGUCCCUAUGCAAACCUACGCCCUUGUUUUGUUUGCAUGAAUCAUUUAAACCUGACUGGUUGGUGUUCUUAUGCAUGGAAACACGUUUGUAAUUGUUUAACUACUGUAUUUAAUAUAAACCUAUAUUUUCAAUUGCAGAAAACGUUGACAGUCAAUCAACAGGGGGACAUGGAAAGAGAGGAUUGGAAGUGAAAUAGAGGGUUUUUCGGGACAGCCAUAGGGGAAGGACUGUGGCAUCUUCAUGUUGAUGACUGAUAUGCCAACUCUGAGGAAGUGGUGGUGUAUAUUGCUAGCGGACAAUUUCAAACUUGGGUGCAUGGUGAGCCACAGGAAAGAGUUUGCCCAUUGGACAGACAAGGCAAAAGCAUUACUGCAGGGUGAAGUGCCACCAGUCUAUCAGCUACAGAAGUGAAAUUUGAAUAUAAUUGCUGAGGAAGAGGUGCAACCACAGCUCCUUCAAGUUAGUGGUGGCCCACUCCAAAAAGAUACGGCGGGAAAAAAUGUUUUGGUAAAAGGAUUGCGCCAGACAGCACAAAAGCCUCGGACAGGGCUGGGGGGGGUCAAUGCAGUAGGAGUUCCCAAGCAUCCUGCAGAUGGAAGAGGAUGAGCAUGAACUACAAUGUCUUGGAGCCAUUCAAGUUCUGUUUCAACCAUCUGGAAGAUGGAUUUACCUUUUUUGAGGAGAUUGUUGAUCAAAGAAAAUAAUCUGGUAUUCUCUCAAUAAUAAUAAAAAAAUAAUAAAACUAAAAAAAUAAAGUUUACCACAUUAGAACUGGUUGUAUUGAGUUCAUUUUUCUACACUUAUAAAUUUGUUGUUUUUUUUCUUUUAUCCCAGAUGUUAGUUGUAGGUAGUUUUAAUUACCUGUGAUAAAGGCGGGAGUGCUUGCCGAAAAAUGUCAGGUAAUUAAAACAACCUACAACUAUUGUCUGGGAUAAAAGAAAAAAACAACUAACACAUGACAACUAUUUUGUCAUUUCUGUUUGAAAUAAAGGUGCCUUUCCUGGAGCAGAAAGUUUAAUAUAGUUUCUGAAUUAGUUAAUUAGGAUCUUCACCCACAUGAAUGAAUUUAAGUAGCAAAAUGAAAGACAAAAUUGGUUUGGUUGCAACAUUGAGAGAAUAUUACGUUUUUGAUACAUUAAAUUGUAAUGAAGCUAUAUUAAUGUGUCCGUUCAUAAAAAUGUAAGGAUGACAGCAAUUUCUAAUAAUUCUCAAUUGGAGUAUAUUUUACAAUUGACAAACUAAAGUACACACUGUGAUAGGUUACAUGCGAUCUUUCAGUCACCAAUUAAACCUUUAUUGCAGUAGUGUGUAUUUUAAUUUUGAUGUACUGUAACCGUGUUUUUCAUUUUGGUAAAAUCAGCAGGCUUUAACAAACUGACCGCGCUUAAAGAGUUAAUCUCCCGAUUUCACCAAAUCAAUUUAAGGAGCAUGGAAAUAAAUUAUUAUUUAAAUAAUAAUGAGUGAUGCUGAAACCGAAAAUAAAAGACGUGCGAAAAGAAAAGUAAACUAGUAUUUACGUUCGAAUGGACGCUAACUAUUACGAUAAAACCGGAAGCU